UACGGGAGGCAGCAGUGAGGAAUAUUGCGCAAUGGGGGAAACCCUGACGCAACGACGCCGCGUGAGUGAGGAAGCCUUCNGGUCGUAAAGCUCUGUCAGAAGGGAAGAAGUGCUAGAUGGUUAAUACCUAUUUAGUUUGACGGUACCUUCAAAGGAAGCACCGGCUNACUCCGUGCCAGCAGCCGCGGUAAUACGGAGGGUGCAAGCGUUGUUCGGAAUCACUGGCGUAAAGGGCCGCAGGCGGUUUGGUAAGUCAGAUGUGAAACCCAUGGCUCACCAUGGAAGUGCAUUUGAAACUGUCAGACUUGAGUACUAGAGGGGAAAGUGGAAUUCCCGGUGUAGAGGUGAAAUUCUAGAUAUCGGGAGGAAUCCGGUGGCGAAGGCACUUUNUGCUAAUCUGCCUGAGGCCGAAAGCGUGGGANAAACAUGAUUAAUCCUGUAGUCACCCGAAACAUGUAACUAGUGUAGGGGGUGUUGUCCCUUNCCNACUACCAUAAUGCCGCUGGGAGACGCGAAAUAAACUAAAGAUUGCGANGCGAUCUUAACCUNAGAUNUCCUUANGAGGUAUUUGANUUGCGAUAU
This 582-nucleotide ribosomal RNA is filed under the name uncultured delta proteobacterium. RNAcentral's name for it is "bacterial SSU rRNA". The stretch from base 1 to 504 matches the Rfam family "Bacterial small subunit ribosomal RNA", at positions 340 to 873 of the family's 1533-position model. Lineage: Bacteria; Deltaproteobacteria. The record is from RNAcentral.